UCCCAAGUGGCUCAAUGGGUAAAGAAUCUGCCUGCAGUGCAGGAGACACAGGUUCACUUCCUGGGUUGGGAA
RNAcentral lists this transfer RNA (72 nucleotides) under Ovis aries (sheep). It matches the Rfam family "tRNA". Rfam says of the family: Transfer RNA (tRNA) molecules are approximately 80 nucleotides in length. Lineage: Eukaryota; Metazoa; Chordata; Mammalia; Artiodactyla; Bovidae. The record is from Rfam by way of RNAcentral.